RNAcentral lists this ribosomal RNA (2904 nucleotides) under Escherichia coli. Its description in RNAcentral is "bacterial LSU rRNA". It matches the Rfam family "Bacterial large subunit ribosomal RNA". Lineage: Bacteria; Pseudomonadati; Pseudomonadota; Gammaproteobacteria; Enterobacterales; Enterobacteriaceae. The record is from RNAcentral.
UUAAGCGACUAAGCGUACACGGUGGAUGCCCUGGCAGUCAGAGGCGAUGAAGGACGUGCUAAUCUGCGAUAAGCGUCGGUAAGGUGAUAUGAACCGUUAUAACCGGCGAUUUCCGAAUGGGGAAACCCAGUGUGAUUCGUCACACUAUCAUUAACUGAAUCCAUAGGUUAAUGAGGCGAACCGGGGGAACUGAAACAUCUAAGUACCCCGAGGAAAAGAAAUCAACCGAGAUUCCCCCAGUAGCGGCGAGCGAACGGGGAGGAGCCCAGAGCCUGAAUCAGUGUGUGUGUUAGUGGAAGCGUCUGGAAAGGCGCGCGAUACAGGGUGACAGCCCCGUACACAAAAAUGCACAUGCUGUGAGCUCGAUGAGUAGGGCGGGACACGUGGUAUCCUGUCUGAAUAUGGGGGGACCAUCCUCCAAGGCUAAAUACUCCUGACUGACCGAUAGUGAACCAGUACCGUGAGGGAAAGGCGAAAAGAACCCCGGCGAGGGGAGUGAAAAAGAACCUGAAACCGUGUACGUACAAGCAGUGGGAGCACAGAGCAAUCUGUGUGACUGCGUACCUUUUGUAUAAUGGGUCAGCGACUUAUAUUCUGUAGCAAGGUUAACCGAAUAGGGGAGCCGAAGGGAAACCGAGUCUUAACUGGGCGUUAAGUUGCAGGGUAUAGACCCGAAACCCGGUGAUCUAGCCAUGGGCAGGUUGAAGGUUGGGUAACACUAACUGGAGGACCGAACCGACUAAUGUUGAAAAAUUAGCGGAUGACUUGUGGCUGGGGGUGAAAGGCCAAUCAAACCGGGAGAUAGCUGGUUCUCCCCGAAAGCUAUUUAGGUAGCGCCUCGUGAAUUCAUCUCCGGGGGUAGAGCACUGUUUCGGCAAGGGGGUCAUCCCGACUUACCAACCCGAUGCAAACUGCGAAUACCGGAGAAUGUUAUCACGGGAGACACACGGCGGGUGCUAACGUCCGUCGUGAAGAGGGAAACAACCCAGACCGCCAGCUAAGGUCCCAAAGUCAUGGUUAAGUGGGAAACGAUGUGGGAAGGCCCAGACAGCCAGGAUGUUGGCUUAGAAGCAGCCAUCAUUUAAAGAAAGCGUAAUAGCUCACUGGUCGAGUCGGCCUGCGCGGAAGAUGUAACGGGGCUAAACCAUGCACCGAAGCUGCGGCAGCGACGCUUAUGCGUUGUUGGGUAGGGGAGCGUUCUGUAAGCCUGUGAAGGUGUACUGUGAGGUAUGCUGGAGGUAUCAGAAGUGCGAAUGCUGACAUAAGUAACGAUAAAGCGGGUGAAAAGCCCGCUCGCCGGAAGACCAAGGGUUCCUGUCCAACGUUAAUCGGGGCAGGGUGAGUCGACCCCUAAGGCGAGGCCGAAAGGCGUAGUCGAUGGGAAACAGGUUAAUAUUCCUGUACUUGGUGUUACUGCGAAGGGGGGACGGAGAAGGCUAUGUUGGCCGGGCGACGGUUGUCCCGGUUUAAGCGUGUAGGCUGGUUUUCCAGGCAAAUCCGGAAAAUCAAGGCUGAGGCGUGAUGACGAGGCACUACGGUGCUGAAGCAACAAAUGCCCUGCUUCCAGGAAAAGCCUCUAAGCAUCAGGUAACAUCAAAUCGUACCCCAAACCGACACAGGUGGUCAGGUAGAGAAUACCAAGGCGCUUGAGAGAACUCGGGUGAAGGAACUAGGCAAAAUGGUGCCGUAACUUCGGGAGAAGGCACGCUGAUAUGUAGGUGAAGUCCCUCGCGGAUGGAGCUGAAAUCAGUCGAAGAUACCAGCUGGCUGCAACUGUUUAUUAAAAACACAGCACUGUGCAAACACGAAAGUGGACGUAUACGGUGUGACGCCUGCCCGGUGCCGGAAGGUUAAUUGAUGGGGUUAGCGCAAGCGAAGCUCUUGAUCGAAGCCCCGGUAAACGGCGGCCGUAACUAUAACGGUCCUAAGGUAGCGAAAUUCCUUGUCGGGUAAGUUCCGACCUGCACGAAUGGCGUAAUGAUGGCCAGGCUGUCUCCACCCGAGACUCAGUGAAAUUGAACUCGCUGUGAAGAUGCAGUGUACCCGCGGCAAGACGGAAAGACCCCGUGAACCUUUACUAUAGCUUGACACUGAACAUUGAGCCUUGAUGUGUAGGAUAGGUGGGAGGCUUUGAAGUGUGGACGCCAGUCUGCAUGGAGCCGACCUUGAAAUACCACCCUUUAAUGUUUGAUGUUCUAACGUUGACCCGUGAUCCGGGUUGCGGACAGUGUCUGGUGGGUAGUUUGACUGGGGCGGUCUCCUCCUAAAGAGUAACGGAGGAGCACGAAGGUUGGCUAAUCCUGGUCGGACAUCAGGAGGUUAGUGCAAUGGCAUAAGCCAGCUUGACUGCGAGCGUGACGGCGCGAGCAGGUGCGAAAGCAGGUCAUAGUGAUCCGGUGGUUCUGAAUGGAAGGGCCAUCGCUCAACGGAUAAAAGGUACUCCGGGGAUAACAGGCUGAUACCGCCCAAGAGUUCAUAUCGACGGCGGUGUUUGGCACCUCGAUGUCGGCUCAUCACAUCCUGGGGCUGAAGUAGGUCCCAAGGGUAUGGCUGUUCGCCAUUUAAAGUGGUACGCGAGCUGGGUUUAGAACGUCGUGAGACAGUUCGGUCCCUAUCUGCCGUGGGCGCUGGAGAACUGAGGGGGGCUGCUCCUAGUACGAGAGGACCGGAGUGGACGCAUCACUGGUGUUCGGGUUGUCAUGCCAAUGGCACUGCCCGGUAGCUAAAUGCGGAAGAGAUAAGUGCUGAAAGCAUCUAAGCACGAAACUUGCCCCGAGAUGAGUUCUCCCUGACUCCUUGAGAGUCCUGAAGGAACGUUGAAGACGACGACGUUGAUAGGCCGGGUGUGUAAGCGCAGCGAUGCGUUGAGCUAACCGGUACUAAUGAACCGUGAGGCUUAACCUU